ACCUGGGGUACGCCUCGAGGUUUGCUGUGCGCUGCUAAGUGAUGUUUUCACCGCUUCAGCCCUCUCUGGGACGACUGUGGCGGAAACCCCGCAGGCCGCCUGGUGACCUUUGGCAUCUGGGCGUGGGGGUCAGAAGAACAAGCUCAGACCCAGCCCAGAGCCCGCCCAGAGGCCAGCCUGGUGACUGCCCAAGGAGAGGCCACAUUCCCCCGACUCCAGCCCCUGAGGACAGGGCCUCCACCGACUCCCGGGGCUCAGGUGGCACUCGGAAGAUUAUUCAGGCCACUCGAAGCCCUAUCACAGAGCCGGGAUUCCCCGCCUGCCUCAGCUUAAGUCCACCUGCAGAGAAGAAAUACAGGAGAGAGAGCGAAAGCCCAUCCACGCGGCGCAUACUAAAUGCAGGGCCCAGCCCCAGGCCAAGGUCCUCGUGGAGCACCUCUCAACUGGAGCAUGAAAACACCCGGGCCCCAGGAAUCUUUCCAUCCCGUAUCUAUUCAGCAGAGCAGCAAACACCACAUUGGGCUGGAACGCUUCGAAAUGGCAAUUGCCCGGUCCUAUAA
This 560-nucleotide long non-coding RNA is filed under the name Dasypus novemcinctus (nine-banded armadillo). RNAcentral's name for it is "lncRNA (ENSDNOG00000052121.1)". Lineage: Eukaryota; Metazoa; Chordata; Mammalia; Cingulata; Dasypodidae. The record is from RNAcentral.